Molecule: transfer-messenger RNA, 357 nt
Filed under: Bryobacterales bacterium
Lineage: Bacteria; Pseudomonadati; Acidobacteriota; Terriglobia; Bryobacterales
Rfam family: transfer-messenger RNA
About the family: Bacterial tmRNA, also known as 10Sa RNA or SsrA, is named for its dual tRNA and mRNA-like properties. Its role is to liberate the mRNA from a stalled ribosome.
Source: RNAcentral
GGGGGCGAACAGGAUUCGACGGAAGCGCUAUCGCUGCUGAGAGGCAUGCCGGGCUCCGAGCACCCGUAAAUCGGUCGGACAACAAGAACUGCCAACAACGACAUGCAGUUUGCACUUGCUGCCUAAACUAUAGGCAGCCGCCUCCGUCGGCGGGCUCGCACGCCGACACGGGGUGUCAUUUCGCGGGAUAGGUUCGAGGCCUUCUGCUCGCAGGUCUCGGGUCGAGAUCAAUCGAGCUGGAUCGCGUACGGCUUGUCCGUUUCCAGUCCGCGGUCGAGAUCAUUGAACGGACUAAGCAUGUAGGCUCUCUCCGGCGGUCGUUUUCGGACGCGGGUUCGAUUCCCGCCGCCUCCACCA